RNAcentral lists this transfer RNA (57 nucleotides) under Loxodonta africana (African savanna elephant). It matches the Rfam family "tRNA", at positions 8 to 63 of the family's 71-position model. Rfam says of the family: Transfer RNA (tRNA) molecules are approximately 80 nucleotides in length. Their secondary structure includes four short double-helical elements and three loops (D, anti-codon, and T loops). The record is from Rfam by way of RNAcentral. Lineage: Eukaryota; Metazoa; Chordata; Mammalia; Proboscidea; Elephantidae.
UGGCUCAGUGGUUAAGCUUUUGGCUGGUAACCGAAAGGUCGGUGGUUCGAGCCCACC